GAUGAACGCUAGCGGCAGGCCUAACACAUGCAAGUCGAGGGGCAGCACAGGUAGCAAUACUGGGUGGCGACCGGCGGAUGGGUGCGUAACGCGUAUGCAACCUACCAUUGAUUGGGGCAUAGCCCGAAGAAAUUCGGAUUAAUACUCCAUAAUAUUCAUCAAAGGCAUCUUUUAUGAAUUAAAGCUUUUGCGAUCAAUGAUGGGCAUGCGUGACAUUAGUUAGUUGGUGAGGUAACGGCUCACCAAAACGAUGAUGUCUAGGGGUUCUGAGAGGAUUAUCCCCCACACUGGUACUGAGACACGGACCAGACUCCUACGGGAGGCAGCAGUGAGGAAUAUUGGUCAAUGGACGCAAGUCUGAACCAGCCAUGCCGCGUGCAGGAUGACGGCCCUAUGGGUUGUAAACUGCUUUUCCACGGGAAGAACCCUCCGACGUGUCGGAGACUGACGGGUACCGUGGGAAUAAGCAUCGGCUAACUCCGUGCCA
RNAcentral lists this ribosomal RNA (487 nucleotides) under uncultured bacterium. RNAcentral's name for it is "bacterial SSU rRNA". It matches the Rfam family "Bacterial small subunit ribosomal RNA", at positions 28 to 510 of the family's 1533-position model. The record is from RNAcentral.